GCGCGAAACCUCUACAAUGCACGAAAGUGUGAUAGGGGAAUCCCAAGUGCUCAAGCACUGCUUGGGCUUUUGCCAUGUGUAAAUAGCAUGGCGAAUAAGUGGUGGGUAAGACCGGUGCCAGCCGCCGCGGUAACACCGGCGCCACAAGUGGCAAUCGCGUUUAUUGGGCCUAAAGCGUCCGUAGCAGGUUUUGUAAAUUUCUUGUGAAACUGCCAGGCUUAACUUGGCAAUGUGCAGGAAACACUGCAAGACUUGAGACCGGGAAGGGUCAGAGGUAUUCCUGAGGGAGCGGUAAAAUGCUAUAAUCUCAGGAGGACCACCGGUGGCGAAGGCGUCUGACUAGAACGGAUCUGACUGUGAGGGACGAAAGCUAGGGGAGCAAACCGG
This 387-nucleotide ribosomal RNA is filed under the name uncultured euryarchaeote. Its description in RNAcentral is "bacterial SSU rRNA". It matches the Rfam family "Archaeal small subunit ribosomal RNA", at positions 339 to 727 of the family's 1478-position model. The record is from RNAcentral. Lineage: Archaea; Methanobacteriati; Methanobacteriota.